AGGGUGAUGGCCGCUUAACUGAGCUAACCUGAUAUUAGCAGUAGCUUACAUGAGUGAAACCUAGUGUGUGUUCAUUUGCUAACACUGCUGAACACCGACAGUAGAUCUGAUAUAGCAUUAUAUUCUCAUGGGCAUACAAUCAGAGUAUAUAUAGACCUGAGCGUAGCAAGCAAUGCGUUAAGGUACUUUUAUUUAACAAAGUUUCUACCCAGAUGACUGUCAUUUUAAAGUCGAGAAUAUUUUUUUUUCCAAUUUUGUGUUAAAUUUGGUGGCACUAUUUACUAUGAUGAUGUCAGUGAAAUCUUUGCUCCUGGACUCUUCUCUCUAUAGAUAACACGAAUCCCAGUAAAAGAUAUGAGCAGAAGGGGCAAUUAUAUAUUAUUGCAAACAGGUGAGGCCUGGGACGUGACUUUUCUAACCUUUCCUUGGUGAUCUCAUCAGCGGCUUGUUUUAGUAAGCCUUUUGGAACCAAGUCAAAUGUGUUCUACUUACAUAAACAAAUUCAGUGAACAUUUAUUGCAGCUUAAAUGCUUUUUAGUGGGAGAUAAUUGCUUUGGAGACCAGGAGGGACUGACAGUAGGGAUAAGGAGUAAAUGCACCUUGUGUUAAUACAUUUCUCCACCCUACCUAUCUCAGUGGUGAAAUGUUUUCUGUGCACCUGCCAUGUGCUCUCUACACAGUCAAUUUCCAGUAUCCUUUAAAGGCGUUUUUAAUUUUAUGUUAUAGCUACAUUACUUUAAAAUAUAACUUUUUUCAUGUGUACUAUUUCCAGUGGCUAUAAGGAGAACAGCAGAGUUGCUGACCCAGUUACUUUCUUUCAAUCUAAUAGACUUCCCUUUCAUUGGCAUUGGUAAGUUCCUGAAUGGAAAAAACAAGUAUAGUAAAGGUGCUACACUAUAUCGAUA
Pelobates cultripes (western spadefoot toad) is the source of this 905-nucleotide non-coding RNA. The record is from the annotation of a GenBank genome assembly. NCBI's taxonomy places the organism in Eukaryota, Metazoa, Chordata, Amphibia, Anura, Pelobatidae.